GGACCUGACUGCUAUCGGAUUGAUACUAAGCCAUGCGAGUCAUUGUAGCAAUACAAGGCAUACGGCUCAGUAACGCGUAGUCAACCUAACCUAUGGACGGGAAUAACCUCGGGAAACUGAGAAUAAUGCCCGAUAGAACAUUAUGCCUGGAAUGGUUUAUGUUCCAAAUGAUUUAUCGCCGUAGGAUGGGACUGCGGCCUAUCAGUUUGUUGGUGAGGUAAUGGCCCACCAAGACUAUUACAGGUACGGGCUCUGAGAGGAGUAGCCCGGAGAUGGGUACUGAGACACGGACCCAGGCCCUAUGGGGCGCAGCAGGCGAGAAAACUUUGCAAUGUGCGAAAGCACGACAAGGUUAAUCCGAGUGGUUUCUGCUAAAGAAACCUUUUGUCGAGUCCUAGAAACACUGAUGAAUAAGGGGUGGGCGAGUUCUGGUGUCAGCG
This 440-nucleotide ribosomal RNA is filed under the name uncultured archaeon. RNAcentral describes it as "bacterial SSU rRNA". It matches the Rfam family "Archaeal small subunit ribosomal RNA", at positions 19 to 463 of the family's 1478-position model. The record is from RNAcentral.